Molecule: non-coding RNA, 96 nt
Organism: Ciona savignyi (Pacific transparent sea squirt)
Lineage: Eukaryota; Metazoa; Chordata; Ascidiacea; Phlebobranchia; Cionidae
Source: Rfam
GCACAUCGGCUUAGCUGACCCUUGCGAUUACCCCAAAUGUGGGUAACUCGGUCGUAUAAUUUCUGGUAGUGGGGACUGCGUUCGCGCUAUCCCCGU